RNAcentral lists this unclassified non-coding RNA (326 nucleotides) under air metagenome. RNAcentral's name for it is "partial contains small subunit ribosomal RNA, internal transcribed spacer 1, and 5.8S ribosomal RNA". The stretch from base 1 to 46 matches the Rfam family "Eukaryotic small subunit ribosomal RNA", at positions 1786 to 1831 of the family's 1831-position model. The record is from RNAcentral.
AAGUCGUAACAAGGUUUCCGUAGGUGAACCUGCGGAAGGAUCAUUACCGAAGAAAUGAUAGUGCUGAGCUGACUCCUUAGGGGGUAUGUGCUUGUUCUAUCGCUUUUUCUACUCUCCACUGUGCACCUAUUGUAGGCUAUGAUAACUCUCAAGUUUCCCUCUGGGGUGAUUUGGAUGGAGGGCUAUGUGAAAUCUCAAUUUUGCUUGCUUUCGACUUUGUAGCCUAUGUCUAUACAAACUCUUAUAGUUUUGUGAAUGUCUUACUGGUUGGUCUUUGACCGAUUAAAAACAAUAUACAACUUUCAGCAACGGAUCUCUUGGCUCUC